AACUUUUAGCAAUGGAUCACUUGGCUCUCGCAUCGUUGAAGAACGCAGCGAAAUGCGAUAAGUAAUGUGAAUUGCAGAAUUCAGUGAAUCAUCGAAUCUUUGAACGCACCUUGCACCCUUUGGCAUUCCGAAGGGUAUGCUCGUUUGAGUGUCAUUGUACUCUCACACUCCCGAUGCUUUUGGAUUGGGAGUGGUGGACUUGGGUGUUGCUGCUUUACUGUGGCUCACCUCAAAUGGAGUAGUGCAACUCUUGGUUGGACAUAGUACGGCGUGAUAAGUGUCUUCGCCGGCGCCUCAUUAGAGGGUGGCCGAUCGGGAGCUCUGUGCUUCAAACCGUCUUCGGACAACAUCUGACAACUUGACCUCAAAUCGAGUAGGACUACCCGCUGAACUUAAGCAUAUCAAUAAGCGGAGGCU
RNAcentral lists this unclassified non-coding RNA (417 nucleotides) under uncultured Sebacina. Its description in RNAcentral is "sequence contains ITS2". The stretch from base 1 to 154 matches the Rfam family "5.8S ribosomal RNA". Lineage: Eukaryota; Fungi; Basidiomycota; Agaricomycetes; Sebacinales; Sebacinaceae. The record is from RNAcentral.